This 453-nucleotide ribosomal RNA is filed under the name uncultured Bacteroides sp. RNAcentral describes it as "partial 16S ribosomal RNA". It matches the Rfam family "Bacterial small subunit ribosomal RNA", at positions 341 to 792 of the family's 1533-position model. The record is from RNAcentral. Lineage: Bacteria; Pseudomonadati; Bacteroidota; Bacteroidia; Bacteroidales; Bacteroidaceae.
ACGGGAGGCAGCAGUGAGGAAUAUUGGUCAAUGGACGGAAGUCUGAACCAGCCAAGUCGCGUGAAGGAUGAAGGUAUUAUGUAUUGUAAACUUCUUUAGCAGUGGAGUAAUAAGGGGAUCGCGAUCCCUGAUGCAAGUACACUGAGAAUAAGGAUCGGCUAACUCCGUGCCAGCAGCCGCGGUAAUACGGAGGAUCCGAGCGUUAUCCGGAUUUAUUGGGUUUAAAGGGAGCGUAGGCGGGCCUUUAAGUCAGUGGUAAAAGCGUGUGGCUCAACCAUACCACGCCAUUGAAACUGGAGGCCUUGAGUGCACACAGGGAUGCUGGAAUUCGUCGUGUAGCGGUGAAAUGCUUAGAUAUGACGAAGAACUCCGAUCGCGAAGGCAGGUGUCCGGGGUGUAACUGACGCUGAGGCUCGAAAGUGCGGGUAUCAAACAGGAUUAGAUACCCUGGUA